GACGAACGCUGGCGGCGUGCUUAACACAUGCAAGUGGAGCGACGAACCAGGCUUCGGCCUGGGGCAGAGCCGCGAACGGGUGAGUAACACGUGGGUAACCUGCCUCGAUGACCGGGACAACCCGGGGAAACCCGGGCUAAUACCGGAUGUGCCCCCUUCACAUCAGUGAAGACAGGAAAGGAAGCUUCGGCCUCCGCAUCGAGAUGGGCCCGCGGCCCAUUAGCUUGUUGGUGAGGAACGGCUCACCAAGGCUGCGAUGGGUAGCUGGUCUGAGAGGACGAUCAGCCACACUGGGACUGAGACACGGCCCAGACUCCUACGGGAGGCAGCAGUGGGGAAUCUUGCGCAAUGCGCGAAAGCGUGACGCAGCAACGCCGCGUGGGGGAAGACGGCC
This 394-nucleotide ribosomal RNA is filed under the name uncultured bacterium. Its description in RNAcentral is "bacterial SSU rRNA". It matches the Rfam family "Bacterial small subunit ribosomal RNA", at positions 28 to 416 of the family's 1533-position model. The record is from RNAcentral.